AAGUCUGCUAAAGUUCUGGGUCUUCCACCCUCUUCUUUCCCCUGGUAUCCCAGCCAGAAACCUCUCUGAGCCCUGGAGCCCUGGAGCCCUGGAGCAGCUAUGGUGCCCGUUUGUGGGCCACAUUCCUGGGCCUGCUACAAGCCUCCCUGCCUGGCUUUCUGAGCACCAGUUGUGUGCUGGGUGUUUCCUGCUGCCUGAGGCAGAUCCCUUCCCCAAGGAGCUCCUGUGCCUUUAAUGCUGUCUCCAUGGAGGUAACAGGAGUGUGCUUGGGGCCUGUGGUUCCUGAGCACUGGUGUCCUUGGGGACCACCCCAUUG
RNAcentral lists this long non-coding RNA (316 nucleotides) under Homo sapiens (human). Its description in RNAcentral is "HSALNT0278538". Lineage: Eukaryota; Metazoa; Chordata; Mammalia; Primates; Hominidae. The record is from RNAcentral.